This 465-nucleotide ribosomal RNA is filed under the name uncultured bacterium. RNAcentral's name for it is "bacterial SSU rRNA". It matches the Rfam family "Bacterial small subunit ribosomal RNA", at positions 330 to 792 of the family's 1533-position model. The record is from RNAcentral.
UCCAGACUCCUACGGGAGGCAGCAGUGAGGAAUAUUGGUCAAUGGGCGAGAGCCUGAACCAGCCAAGUCGCGUGAGGGAUGACUGCCCUAUGGGUUGUAAACCUCUUUUGUAUGGGGGGAAUAAGCUUUACGAGUAGAGUGAUGACAGUACCAUACGAAUAAGCAUCGGCUAACUCCGUGCCAGCAGCCGCGGUAAUACGUAGGUGGCAAGCGUUAUCCGGAUUUAUUGGGUGUAAAGGGCGUGUAGGCGGGAGCGCAAGUCAGAUGUGAAAACUCAGGGCUCAACCCUGAGCCUGCAUUUGAAACUGUGUUUCUUGAGUGCUGGAGAGGCAAUCGGAAUUCCGUGUGUAGCGGUGAAAUGCGUAGAUAUACGGAGGAACACCAGUGGCGAAGGCGGAUUGCUGGACAGUAACUGACGCUGAGGCGCGAAAGCGUGGGGAGCAAACAGGAUUAGAUACCCCGGUA